AUGGGAACUCCUCCAAGAGAAGGAGGAGAGAAGAAUUAGGCGAUAUCGAGAGGAGCAGGAUAGAGAGAAAUGAAAUUAUAAUUUGGUACAUGAAAUAAAGAACUUGAAACCAA
Molecule: long non-coding RNA, 113 nt
Organism: Saccostrea echinata
Lineage: Eukaryota; Metazoa; Mollusca; Bivalvia; Ostreida; Ostreidae
Exons: 2
Source: RefSeq, a predicted model, not a curated record